GACGAACGUUGGCGGCGUGCUUAAUACAUGCAAGUCAACUGAAGCAGUGGUAGCAAUAUCGCUGUGGAGGUGGCGCACGGGUGAGUAACACGUAGGUAAUCUGCCUUCAUGUCUGGCAUAACUCCGGGAAACCGGGGCUAAUAGCAGAUGAUGCAGCGGCUCGACAUCGAGACAGUUGUUAAAGCUAUAGCGCCUUAAGAUGAGCCUGCGUCUGAUUAGCUAGUUGGCGGGGUAACGGCCCACCAAGGCAACGAUCAGUAGCUGGUCUGAGAGGAUGAUCAGCCACACUGGAACUGAGACACGGUCCAGACUCCUACGGGAGGCAGCAGUAAGGAAUAUUGCUCAAUGGGAGAAAUCCUGAAGCAGCAACGCCGCGUGAGGGACGAAGGGCUUUUGCUUGCAAACCUCUGUAGUGAGAGAAAAAAAUCCCAAUCUUUGGGACAUGAUGGUAUCUCAAAAGUAAGCCCCGGCUAACUACGUG
This 481-nucleotide ribosomal RNA is filed under the name uncultured bacterium. RNAcentral's name for it is "partial 16S ribosomal RNA". It matches the Rfam family "Bacterial small subunit ribosomal RNA", at positions 28 to 507 of the family's 1533-position model. The record is from RNAcentral.